RNAcentral lists this ribosomal RNA (240 nucleotides) under Triticum aestivum (bread wheat). RNAcentral's name for it is "partial small subunit ribosomal RNA". The record is from RNAcentral. Lineage: Eukaryota; Viridiplantae; Streptophyta; Magnoliopsida; Poales; Poaceae.
AUGUUUGUAGAGCGAAGCCCACCAAUUGAGGAAGUGAUCAACACAGGCAUGGUGCCUUGUUUCAUUGAGUUCCUCACACCGGAGGACUAUCCCUAACUCCAGUUUGAGGCUGCAUGGGCACUCACCAACAUUGCGUCAGGCACAUUAGACAACACCAAAGUGGUGGUUGAGUACGGUGCUGUGCCCAUCUUUGUCAAGCUACUCAGCUCUCCUAGUGAGGAUGUCCGCGAACAGGCAUGA